This 71-nucleotide transfer RNA is filed under the name Loxodonta africana (African savanna elephant). It matches the Rfam family "tRNA". Rfam says of the family: Transfer RNA (tRNA) molecules are approximately 80 nucleotides in length. Their secondary structure includes four short double-helical elements and three loops (D, anti-codon, and T loops). The record is from Rfam by way of RNAcentral. Lineage: Eukaryota; Metazoa; Chordata; Mammalia; Proboscidea; Elephantidae.
ACAUUGCUUGUUCAGUGGUAGAAUUCUUGCCUCCCACGCCGGAGACCUGGGUUCAAUUCCAAGCCAAUGGA